RNAcentral lists this long non-coding RNA (285 nucleotides) under Salmo trutta (river trout). RNAcentral describes it as "lncRNA (ENSSTUG00000012681.1)". The record is from RNAcentral. Lineage: Eukaryota; Metazoa; Chordata; Actinopteri; Salmoniformes; Salmonidae.
UCCACUUCCAAGACUAUAGUGCAUCUACUGUGUGUAUGACCAACAAUAGUACCAUGAACACAACAGAAGCAGGUGAGCGAUAAACAGACCAUAAUGCAGCAGCCUAAUAACCACAGCAGCCGGACUCCUAAGGACAAGAGUCUGGAGACUGUGGAGGCUACCCACUCAGCACCCUGGAAUAAACCACAACUCAGCAACAGCAAGGUGGGUUCGGUUUCCAACCAGUAAACAACUAGCCAUACCAUGUUUAUGCCAGGGACCUUGUCCCAAGACUGUUGAAUCACC